CAACAAUGUGGAGCCCCCAGGAGCUCCACUGCAGCCCCAGCACUGUGUCUGGCUCUGUGGUCCUAUCAUAAAUGUGUGAGGGCUGAUGCUGGGAACGCUCAUGCUGGACAGUUAGAGAGCAAGAAAGCGAUGGCAGGCUGGAGAUAAAGCUGCACACAGACCCACACAUUCCUGUCUAGUUUGGUGGAACCACUUAAGGCAGGCUGCUAUAAUGUGCAGGAAUCUGCCUACUCUGUGAAAAUGAGGUGAUGCCUUCAUCACGGCCAGGAGCCAGCUUGAAAAUUAUUGUCUCUUCUCCCUGCCCCAAGGUGAGAAAGAAUACGGAGAAGCUGGUGAAAAGAUGCCCAGUGCACUGCACCGCUGGAAUAGUCAGCUUUCUAGACAGCACAAAACCAGCAAAGGGUACUCUUACUGGCAGGAAAUGUCAUUUUUUAUCAGCAUGCCCCAGCAGAUGAGUAAUACACUGUGCUUUCAAUAAUCCCAAAUGAUCUCAAAGAAUUUCUGUGGGUAUUAUCUUCAUCUGGGCACUUCCAUAUCUAUGGAACAGCAUGUUAUGAUGAUGAAUCUUUCUUGCACAGUUAUUCUUCAGGAAAUAAAGAGCAG
This 603-nucleotide long non-coding RNA is filed under the name Numida meleagris (helmeted guineafowl). Its description in RNAcentral is "lncRNA (ENSNMEG00000009505.1)". The record is from RNAcentral. Lineage: Eukaryota; Metazoa; Chordata; Aves; Galliformes; Numididae.